RNAcentral lists this ribosomal RNA (250 nucleotides) under uncultured bacterium. RNAcentral describes it as "partial 16S ribosomal RNA". It matches the Rfam family "Bacterial small subunit ribosomal RNA", at positions 524 to 773 of the family's 1533-position model. The record is from RNAcentral.
UACGAGGGGUCCAAGCGUUGUUCGGAAUCACUGGGCGUAAAGCGGGUGUAGGUGGCCAAGCAAGUUGGAUGUGAAAGCCCCGGGCUCAACCCGGGAAGUGCAUCCAAAACUACAUGGCUUGAGUAAGGGAGAGAAAGGUAGAAUUCCAGGUGUAGUGGUGAAAUACGUAGAUAUCUGGAGGAACACCGGUGGCGAAGGCGGCCUUUUGGCCCAUUACUGACACUCAGACCCGAAAGCGUGGGUAGCAAAC